This 231-nucleotide ribosomal RNA is filed under the name uncultured bacterium. RNAcentral's name for it is "partial 16S ribosomal RNA". It matches the Rfam family "Bacterial small subunit ribosomal RNA", at positions 103 to 334 of the family's 1533-position model. The record is from RNAcentral.
CGGGUGAGUAUCACGUGAGAAACCUGCCCCGAAGACUGGGAUAGCCCGGGGAAACCCGGAUUAAUACCGGAUAUCCUCUACAGAUCGCAUGAUCUGUUGAGGAAAGCUUUUGCGCUUCGGGAUGGUCUCGCGGCCGAUUAGCUUGUUGGUGAGGUAACGGCUCACCAAGGCGGUGAUCGGUAGCCGGCCUGAGAGGGCGAUCGGCCACACUGGGACUGAGACACGGCCUAG